GCCAGACUCCUACGGGAGGCAGCAGUGGGGAAUAUUGCACAAUGGGGGAAACCCUGAUGCAGCGACGCCGCGUGAGUGAAGAAGUAUUUCGGUAUGUAAAGCUCUAUCAGCAGGGAAGAAAAUGACGGUACCUGACUAAGAAGCCCCGGCUAACUACGUGCCAGCAGCCGCGGUAAUACGUAGGGGGCAAGCGUUAUCCGGAUUUACUGGGUGUAAAGGGAGCGUAGACGGCAGCGCAAGUCUGAAGUGAAAUCCCAUGGCUUAACCAUGGAACUGCUUUGGAAACUGUGCAGCUGGAGUGCAGGAGAGGUAAGCGGAAUUCCUAGUGUAGCGGUGAAAUACGUAGAUAUUAGGAGGAACACCAGUGGCGAAGGCGGCUUACUGGACUGUAACUGACGUUGAGGCUCGAAAGCGUGGGGAGCAAACAGGAUUAGAUACCCUGGUA
This 445-nucleotide ribosomal RNA is filed under the name uncultured bacterium. RNAcentral describes it as "bacterial SSU rRNA". It matches the Rfam family "Bacterial small subunit ribosomal RNA", at positions 330 to 792 of the family's 1533-position model. The record is from RNAcentral.